This 455-nucleotide ribosomal RNA is filed under the name uncultured bacterium. RNAcentral describes it as "bacterial SSU rRNA". It matches the Rfam family "Bacterial small subunit ribosomal RNA", at positions 345 to 793 of the family's 1533-position model. The record is from RNAcentral.
AGGGCAGCAGUGGGGAAUAUUGCACAAUGGGCGCAAGCCUGAUGCAGCCAUGCCGCGUGUAUGAAGAAGGCCUUCGGGUUGUAAAGUACUUUCAGCAGUGAGGAAGGUGGAUAUGUUAAUAGCAUAUUCAUUUGACGUUAGCUGCAGAAGAAGCACCGGCUAACUCCGUGCCAGCAGCCGCGGUAAUACGGAGGGUGCGAGCGUUAAUCGGAAUUACUGGGCGUAAAGCGCAUGCAGGUGGUUUGUUAAGUCAGAUGUGAAAGCCCGGGGCUCAACCUCGGAAUUGCAUUUGAAACUGGCAAACUAGAGUACUGUAGAGGGGGUAGAAUUUCAGGUGUAGCGGUGAAAUGCGUAGAGAUCUGAAGGAAUACCGGUGGCGAAGGCGGCCCCCUGGACAGAUACUGACACUCAGAUGCGAAAGCGUGGGGAGCAAACAGGAUUAGAUACCCUGGUAG